AGCUUUGUGCAGUUGCAGUACUGUAGCCAAUGAAGUUUAUCUGAGGUGGGAUUACUGCUAACUAGAAACUUUUCUUAAAAUAA
This 83-nucleotide small RNA is filed under the name Marmota monax (woodchuck). Lineage: Eukaryota; Metazoa; Chordata; Mammalia; Rodentia; Sciuridae. The record is from RNAcentral.